UACAGAGGUCUCAAGCGUUGUUCGGAUUCAUUGGGCGUAAAGGGUGCGUAGGCGGCGCGGUAAGUCGGGUGUGAAAUCUCGGAGCUUAACUCCGAAACUGCAUUCGAUACUGCCGUGCUUGAGGACUGGAGAGGAGACUGGAAUUUACGGUGUAGCGGUGAAAUGCGUAGAUAUCGUAAGGAAGACCAGUAGCGAAGGCGGCUCGCUGGGCCAUUCCUGACGCUGAGACGCGAAAGCUAGGGGAGCGAACAGG
Molecule: ribosomal RNA, 253 nt
Filed under: uncultured bacterium
Lineage: Bacteria
Description: partial 16S ribosomal RNA
Rfam family: Bacterial small subunit ribosomal RNA
Source: RNAcentral